This is a long non-coding RNA of Nycticebus coucang (slow loris), 340 nucleotides long. RefSeq lists it as uncharacterized. The transcript is spliced from 3 exons. Lineage: Eukaryota; Metazoa; Chordata; Mammalia; Primates; Lorisidae. The record is from RefSeq and is a predicted model, not a curated record.
AAUGAUAUAAAACAUCUGCUGGUUUGCCUUACUGCACCUGACCAAAGGAAACUCCAAUGUGGAUUGAAAUUGAAAAAUCCUAGGACCUUUAUCACAGGUGCAGAAAAAUGAAGAUUUCCCCAUCAAAUUCAGCAUGGGAGUAGCUGUCUGGAGUCAUGGUGUCUUUAGAAGAAGCAAAUGCCCUCCUAGUUUUUCCAGAGCAGCAGGGACCUACUGAGGCCUCCUAUUUGCUCCCCGAUUGCUGGACUUCAUCCUUCACAAAAAACAAAGUUCUCUCUGGAUUGCAAGGUGUCAAAUGCCUUAUAAGUUAAACAAAUUUACUUUCAUAUGUGAAUAAAAG